This 433-nucleotide ribosomal RNA is filed under the name uncultured bacterium. RNAcentral's name for it is "partial 16S ribosomal RNA". It matches the Rfam family "Bacterial small subunit ribosomal RNA", at positions 28 to 507 of the family's 1533-position model. The record is from RNAcentral.
GACGAACGCUGGCGGCGUGCCUAACACAUGCAAGUCGAACGAGACCUUCGGGUCUAGUGGCGCACGGGUGCGUAACGCGUGGGAACCUGCCCUUAGGUUCGGAAUAACUCCCCGAAAGGGGUGCUAAUACCGGAUAAUGUCUUCGGACCAAAGAUUUAUCGCCUUUGGAUGGGCCCGCGUUGGAUUAGCUAGUUGGUAGGGUAAAAGCCUACCAAGGCGACGAUCCAUAGCUGGUCUGAGAGGAUGAUCAGCCACACUGGGACUGAGACACGGCCCAGACUCCUACGGGAGGCAGCAGUGGGGAAUAGUGGACAAUGGGCGAAAGCCUGAUCCAGCAAUGCCGCGUGAGUGAUGAAGGCCUUAGGGUUGUAAAGCUCUUUUACCCGGGAUGAUAAUGACAGUACCGGGAGAAUAAGCUCCGGCUAACUCCGUG